UAAGAUUAACGUUUAGCUGCAGACGUAUCAACGCCGGAGACCGACGGUCAACUCAAGAAACUGGCGGCGGAAAAAACAAACAAGAAAAAAAAUCCAAAAAGUCAACGCCGGAGACGGCGGUCAAUGCUGAAAACCGGCGGCGAAAACAAAUAAAGUCAACGCCGAAAACCGGCGCCAAAAAAAUAAUUUCAGAAAAAAAAAAAAAAGUUGAAAAAAAAAGUCAAAAUUAUUUUUUUGCGGUUAAAAUUGAUUAAAUUAUGGUUACAAGUAAGAAUUGGUUGUAAAGUGUUGCGGGUAAUUUUGUCAUAUAAAUUAAUUUUUCCUUUAUUUAUAAGGUAAAAUAGCACUGAACCUCCUUGUGGUUUGCACAUUUUG
RNAcentral lists this long non-coding RNA (375 nucleotides) under Erythranthe guttata (spotted monkey flower). Its description in RNAcentral is "long non-coding RNA (EGUT_LNC001340)". Lineage: Eukaryota; Viridiplantae; Streptophyta; Magnoliopsida; Lamiales; Phrymaceae. The record is from RNAcentral.